UACGGAGACCUCGAGCGUUACUCGGAUUUACUGGGCGUAAAGGGUUCGUAGGUGGCCAAGUGUGUCGGGUGUGAAAUCUUGCGGCUUAACCGUAAAACUGCGCCCGAAACUACUUGGCUAGGGUCUUGGAGGGGUAAGCGGAAUUCCUGGUGUAGCGGUGAAAUGCGUAGAUAUCAGGAGGAACACCAACGGCGAAGGCAGCUUACUGGACAAGUACCGACACUGAGGAACGAAAGUAUGGGUAGCGAAAGGG
Molecule: ribosomal RNA, 253 nt
Filed under: uncultured bacterium
Lineage: Bacteria
Also listed under: 1 other name
Description: partial 16S ribosomal RNA
Rfam family: Bacterial small subunit ribosomal RNA
Source: RNAcentral